ACCUUUAAUUUAUAGAAAAGAUUUUAUUGAAAUUUUUUAUUUCUUUUGGUUUGGCAAUCAUCAAAAAAAUUAUCAAAUUUAUUGGUAAACAUUUCCACCAUCUUUCUUGUCCUAGAUUUCUACUAAGGUUUGCCUACCAAAAACAUGUAAGGUGGUCUGAAUAUACAAAAAUUUCAAUCACCAAUAAUAAGUUAACAAAUCAAA
Molecule: long non-coding RNA, 204 nt
Filed under: Elaeis guineensis (African oil palm)
Lineage: Eukaryota; Viridiplantae; Streptophyta; Magnoliopsida; Arecales; Arecaceae
Description: long non-coding RNA (EGUI_LNC002398)
Source: RNAcentral